GUACCUACGGGACGCAGCAGUCGGGAAUAUUGCGCAAUGGAGGAAACUCUGACGCAGUGACGCCGCGUAUAGGAAGAAGGUUUUCGGAUUGUAAACUAUUGUCGUUAGGGAAGAAAAAAAGACAGUACCUAAGGAGGAAGCUCCGGCUAACUACGUGCCAGCAGCCGCGGUAAUACGUAGGGGGCUAGCGUUAUCCGGAAUUACUGGGCGUAAAGGGUGCGUAGGUGGUUUCUUAAGUCAGAGGUGAAAGGCUACGGCUCAACCGAAGUAAGCCUUUGAAACUGGGGAACUUGAGUGCAGGAGAG
RNAcentral lists this ribosomal RNA (305 nucleotides) under uncultured bacterium. RNAcentral describes it as "bacterial SSU rRNA". It matches the Rfam family "Bacterial small subunit ribosomal RNA", at positions 333 to 656 of the family's 1533-position model. The record is from RNAcentral.